RNAcentral lists this ribosomal RNA (468 nucleotides) under uncultured bacterium. RNAcentral describes it as "partial 16S ribosomal RNA". It matches the Rfam family "Bacterial small subunit ribosomal RNA", at positions 28 to 507 of the family's 1533-position model. The record is from RNAcentral.
GACGAACGCUGGCGGCGUGCUUAACGCAUGCAAGUCGAACGGAAAGGCCCUGCUUUUGUGGGGUGCUCGAGUGGCGAACGGGUGAGUAACACGUGAGUAACCUGCCCUUGACUUUGGGAUAACUUCAGGAAACUGGGGCUAAUACCGGAUAGGAGCUCCUGCUGCAUGGUGGGGGUUGGAAAGUUUCGGCGGUUGGGGAUGGACUCGCGGCUUAUCAGCUUGUUGGUGGGGUAGUGGCUUACCAAGGCUUUGACGGGUAGCCGGCCUGGGAGGGUGACCGGCCACAUUGGGACUGAGAUACGGCCCAGACUCCUACGGGAGGCAGCAGUGGGGAAUAUUGCACAAUGGGCGGAAGCCUGAUGCAGCAACGCCGCGUGCGGGAUGACGGCCUUCGGGUUGUAAACCGCUUCCGCCUGUGACGAAGCGUGAGUGACGGUAAUGGGUAAAGAAGCACCGGCUAACUACGUG